This 358-nucleotide long non-coding RNA is filed under the name Elaeis guineensis (African oil palm). RNAcentral describes it as "long non-coding RNA (EGUI_LNC005218)". The record is from RNAcentral. Lineage: Eukaryota; Viridiplantae; Streptophyta; Magnoliopsida; Arecales; Arecaceae.
GUAGAGAACUGACUUGAGCAUCGGAGGGUCUUGUCGGAGCAACCCUAACUCCGGUUUAAACUUUUUUUGCAGGUCCCGACGGCGAUCGCGACACCCUCGACUCUAGCUUCUCCGACGCAGGCGGAUUUUCGCACCAACAGGAUUGACGCUAGAGGAAGGGUCUGUAUCUUCGCAGUACCCUUGUUCUUAAAGGAGCGCUCAACGGGACCGCCUCCGGUCAUCUUUUCUGACAUCCUCUCCUCCUUCCCCCACUAGAUCUUCGCCCGAUGCCUCCCCGCAAAGCAUCCGCACGGCGACCCAUGGCCUCCGCAGUCAGAUCUCAGGCUUCGGCCUUGCCUCCAGUUUCUCAGGCUCCUCC